GAGCGUGGCGGCGUGCUUACACAUGCAAGUCGAACGAUGAUCCCAGCUUGCUGGGGGAUUAGUGGCGAACGGGUGAGUAACACGUGAGUAACCUGCCCUUGACUCUGGGAUAAGCCUGGGAAACUGGGUCUAAUACCGGAUACGACCAUUCCACGCAUGUGGUGGUGGUGGAAAGCUUUUGUGGUUUUGGAUGGACUCGCGGCCUAUCAGCUUGUUGGUGGGGUAAUGGCCUACCAAGGCGACGACGGGUAGCCGGCCUGAGAGGGUGACCGGCCACACUGGGACUGAGACACGGCCCAGACUCCUACGGGAGGCAGCAGUGGGGAAUAUUGCACAAUGGGCGCAAGCCUGAUGCAGCGACGCCGCGUGAGGGAUGACGGCCUUCGGGUUGUAAACCUCUUUCAGUAGGGAAGAAGCGAAAGUGACGGUACCUGCAGAAGAAGCGCCGGCUAACUACGUGCCAGCAGCCGCGGUAAUACGUAGGGCGCAAGCGUUAUCCGGAAUUAUUGGGCGUAAAGAGCUCGUAGGCGGUUUGUCGCGUCUGCUGUGAAAGACCGGGGCUCAACUCCGGUUCUGCAGUGGGUACGGGCAGACUAGAGUGCAGUAGGGGAGACUGGAAUUCCUGGUGUAGCGGUGAAAUGCGCAGAUAUCAGGAGGAACACCGAUGGCGAAGGCAGGUCUCUGGGCUGUAACUGACGCUGAGGAGCGAAAGCAUGGGGAGCGAACAGGAUUAGAUACCCUGGUAGUCCAUGCCGUAAACGUUGGGCACUAGGUGUGGGGGACAUUCCACGUUUUCCGCGCCGUAGCUAACGCAUUAAGUGCCCCGCCUGGGGAGUACGGCCGCAAGGCUAAAACUCAAAGGAAUUGACGGGGGCCCGCACAAGCGGCGGAGCAUGCGGAUU
Molecule: ribosomal RNA, 902 nt
Filed under: Arthrobacter sp. HBUM178470
Lineage: Bacteria; Bacillati; Actinomycetota; Actinomycetes; Micrococcales; Micrococcaceae
Description: bacterial SSU rRNA
Rfam family: Bacterial small subunit ribosomal RNA
Source: RNAcentral